RNAcentral lists this long non-coding RNA (248 nucleotides) under Homo sapiens (human). Its description in RNAcentral is "HSALNT0059798". The record is from RNAcentral. Lineage: Eukaryota; Metazoa; Chordata; Mammalia; Primates; Hominidae.
ACCAUUGUGAUUAAUCCAUCAUUUGGAGAUGAAGCGGUGAUUAUGUCAGAGGUAGCUAAUGAAUUUACAUUUGUGGUUGACUCACUGUCUGCAGCAGUAGGUGUAGGAAUUGUGGAGGAACUAUGUGUACUAAUUAUGGGGGGAGCAGGUGAAGUAGCUGUUGGGAAAGAAGGUGUAUUUGCUGUGGUGCUAGCAGUUUCAGGGAAAUUAGUUUCAGUGGUAUCAGCUGCAGCUACUGUAGGACCACU